GGGUGGGGGUGCAGUUUGUACUCUGCUUAGGAGAUUCUUCUCCGGGAAUUCUGGCUGUUGCCAUUUUUAUUUUUCAAUUCCUUUGUAUUAAACUUCUGUUCUGCACUGUUGAGGAAAUUGUGUUACAUUGUUGUGUGUUGAAUUUAAAUAUUUCAGAGCAAUUCAUUACUCUAUCAAGUUGUUCAUGAAAUUUAUAGUAUGAAGUUUUAUUUUGCCC
This 217-nucleotide unclassified non-coding RNA is filed under the name Hevea brasiliensis (rubber tree). The record is from RNAcentral. Lineage: Eukaryota; Viridiplantae; Streptophyta; Magnoliopsida; Malpighiales; Euphorbiaceae.